GAUGAAGAACGCAGCGAAAUGCGAUACGUAAUGUGAAUUGCAGAAUUCAGUGAAUCAUCGAAUCUUUGAACGCAUAUUGCGCUCUUUGGUAUUCCGAAGAGCAUGCUUGUUUGAGUAUCAGUAAACACCUCAAAGCUUUUGGAUUUUUUAAUCGAAAAGCUUUGGACUUGAGCAAUCCCAACACCAAUCUUUUUGAGAUCGGUGGCGGGUUGCUUGAAAUGCAGGUGCAGCUGGACAUUCUCCUGAGCUAAAAGCAUAUUCAUUUAGUCCCGUCAAAAGGAUUAUUACUUUUGCUGCAGCUAACAUAAAGGGAGUUUGACCGUAUUGGCUGACUGAUGCAGGAUUUCACAAGGGUCGGCAACGAUUCUUGUUAAACUCGAUCUCAAAUCAAGUAAGACUACCCGCUGAACUUAAGCAUAUCAAUAAGCGGAGGA
RNAcentral lists this unclassified non-coding RNA (434 nucleotides) under soil metagenome. RNAcentral's name for it is "partial contains 5.8S ribosomal RNA, internal transcribed spacer 2, and large subunit ribosomal RNA". The stretch from base 1 to 120 matches the Rfam family "5.8S ribosomal RNA", at positions 35 to 154 of the family's 154-position model. The record is from RNAcentral.